Molecule: ribosomal RNA, 1045 nt
Filed under: Pyricularia oryzae
Lineage: Eukaryota; Fungi; Ascomycota; Sordariomycetes; Magnaporthales; Pyriculariaceae
Description: SSU rRNA
Rfam family: Eukaryotic small subunit ribosomal RNA
Source: RNAcentral
CCUGGUUGAUUCUGCCAGUAGUCAUAUGCUUGUCUUAAAGAUUAAGCCAUGCAUGUCUAAGUAUAAGCAAUUAUACAGCGAAACUGCGAAUGGCUCAUUAAAUCAGUUAUCGUUUAUUUGAUAGUACCUUACUACAUGGAUAACCGUGGUAAUUCUAGAGCUAAUACAUGCUAAAAACCCCGACUUCGGAAGGGGUGUAUUUAUUAGAUUAAAAACCAAUGCCCUUCGGGGCUCACUGGUGAUUCAUGAUAACUUCUCGAAUCGCACGGCCUUGCGCCGGCGAUGGUUCAUUCAAAUUUCUGCCCUAUCAACUUUCGACGGCUGGGUCUUGGCCAGCCGUGGUGACAACGGGUAACGGAGGGUUCGGGCUCGACCCCGGAGAAAACGCCUGAGAAACGGCGUUUACAUCCAAGGAAGGCAGCAGGCGCGCAAAUUACCCAAUGCCGACACGGCGAGGUAGUGACGAGAAAUACUGAUACAGGGCUCUUUUGGGUCUUGUAAUUGGAAUGAGUACAAUUUAAAUCUCUUAACGAGGAACAAUUGGAGGGCAAGUCUGGUGCCAGCAGCCGCGGUAAUUCCAGCUCCAAUAGCGUAUAUUAAAGUUGUUGCAGUUAAAAAGCUCGUAGUUGAACCUUGGGCCUGGCUGGCCGGUCCGCCUCACCGCGUGCACUGGUCCGGCCGGGCCUUUCCCUCUGGGGAACCGCAUGCCCUUCACUGGGCGUGUCGGGGAACCAGGACUUUUACUUUGAAAAAAUUAGAGUGUUCAAAGCAGGCCUAUGCUCGAAUACAUUAGCAUGGAAUAAUAGAAUAGGACGUGUGGUUCUAUUUUGUUGGUUUCUAGGACCGCCGUAAUGAUUAAUAGGGACAGUCGGGGGCAUCAGUAUUCAAUUGUCAGAGGUGAAAUUCUUGGAUUUAUUGAAGACUAACUACUGCGAAAGCAUUUGCCAAGGAUGUUUUCAUUAAUCAGGAACGAAAGUUAGGGGAUCGAAGACGAUCAGAUACCGUCGUAGUCUUAACCAUAAACUAUGCCGACUAGGGAUCGGAC